UGGCGGUGAUGACUUGUGGUUGGUCCGUGUUUCCGACAAGCGAAUGAUGUUACCACAACCAUCUGAGCCA
Non-coding RNA from Haemonchus placei, 70 nucleotides. NCBI's taxonomy places the organism in Eukaryota, Metazoa, Nematoda, Chromadorea, Rhabditida, Trichostrongylidae. The record is from Rfam.